GCCCAAUUUAGUCGCCUCUUAUGACAAGCAAUGGGCACUGAGAACCUAUUCGUCUGAAAUUCGAAAGAGGCCUCAGUCCAGAUAUCCAGCUUCGACAAAUCUCGCUGAGAUUAAAUCAUAUGAGCAUCUACGUUUGCAUGCAUAUCAUUGUAAUAGAGAAUGUCAGUUAGUUUCUGGAGAUUGUACGCCAUAGUAUUCUGUUUCUUAUUCUGACAUUGUGCUAACUGUCAAAUCAUCGGAGUUUUCCACAGCGUACACAUGUUGUGUGUUAGAAUUACAAUCCACUACUGUGUAUUUCAUGUUUGUCCAUGUGUGCUGCAGAAGUGCCAGAGUUUUGGAAAUGUACGAGGACACCGAAUCAUGACUUGUGCAUUUGUUUCCUUCUCUGGCAUUGAUCAAAACGAAGCGACGUUCAACCACCACUAAAUCAAACUCCGAGUCGGCGACUAGAGAAGAAAGUAAUAUUGGAAAGGUUCUCUGUUUGACUACGAUUGGAGGUGACACUAUGAAAAUCUUUGUUUGUAGGAAAACGAAAUUUCUAAUAACCAAUUCAUUUUCCGCCAAGUAUAAUUCGAUUGGUAAGGGAGAAAAGCUACCCUUCCAAGACUUGACGUUAAAGACAGUCAUUCAAAUGUUCGAAGAAACUGUGCAACAGCUGACGAUGGAAACGACUAUAUAGAAAUGAUUGUGCUAUGCCUAGGACAGAUAUGGGGGACGAAAGAAGCGUUGAAAAAUACACUUUUGAAUUUUGAAGUAUUUUUAAGCCGAAUUAAUUUUGUCUAGUUGUAGUAGAUGUUCUUCUCAACUGAUCUCUUACUUAUACAUUUUUAUUAGGCAUUGGUGAAUAUAUUCUAGCAAAUGGAAUAGACAUUUGUAUUUCUAGCUCUUUUAAAGUAUUAAUGAAACAUAAGAAAACAUUUGUAAGGACCAAUAUCAAAUUAAAAAUGCACAAUAACACUGGAUUUUCAUUGAACCAGUAUGUAGGUGAAAGGGGAAGAUAACGAACAGUGAUCAAUCGCAUAACUCUAUAAACAAUAUAAAAUAGAGAGUUCGGCAAACACGGAUCCCUGGAUAUACCAUAGGUGGGAUCAGAUGCCUAGGAGGAGUAAGCAUCCCAACUAUUUAAAUUGUAUUCUUUAUAGGAGUUAUGAGAUUGAUCACUGUUCUUUAUCUUCACCUUUCAUUAAGGAGAGACAUAUAUUUCUUCUGAUGUGUUUUCUUAAUAUCAAGUAAAAUGAAUUAACUGUAUACAGAUUAUAACUAACCUUUGGUGUGCUGAAUCGUAAUCCCGAAAAAUGCUCCCACCAACACGUACAGUUUCAUCUUUGUUCUAACGUCACAUUGACAAGAUCAUGUAAUAAAAGCUUUA
This is a long non-coding RNA of Ostrea edulis (European flat oyster), 1369 nucleotides long. RefSeq lists it as uncharacterized. The transcript is spliced from 3 exons. The record is from RefSeq and is a predicted model, not a curated record. NCBI's taxonomy places the organism in Eukaryota, Metazoa, Mollusca, Bivalvia, Ostreida, Ostreidae.